This 309-nucleotide ribosomal RNA is filed under the name uncultured eukaryote. RNAcentral describes it as "partial 18S ribosomal RNA". It matches the Rfam family "Eukaryotic small subunit ribosomal RNA", at positions 1470 to 1796 of the family's 1831-position model. The record is from RNAcentral.
CCCUUAGAUGUUCUGGGCGGCCCGCGCACUACAAUGGCGUGUGCAGCGAGUGCCGAAGUAGAGUUUUCCGAGGUAUUCUUGCAAUGCUCGUUUUGAUGGGGAUAGACCCUUGCAACUGUCGGUUUUGAACGAGGAAUUCCUUGUAAGCAUGGUUUAUCAUCCGACGCUGAAUGCGUCCCUGCCCUUUGUACACACCGCCCGUCGCUCCUACCGAUGAGUCGUCCGGUGAAGUUCGUAGACCUCGUGAUUGCGGAUCACUGGGGGAAGCAAAAUGAACCUCGCGGUUUAGAGGAAGGAGAAGUCGUAACA